Molecule: long non-coding RNA, 10326 nt
Organism: Peromyscus californicus insignis
Lineage: Eukaryota; Metazoa; Chordata; Mammalia; Rodentia; Cricetidae
Exons: 3
Source: RefSeq, a predicted model, not a curated record
GUCUCUUCCUCUCUCCCUGCAUUACAUCUGCUGGAGAGCUCUCAGUGUGGCCGUCAGAGACUCAGAUUCUAUUCUCUCUCCCCUGGAUUCCUUCAUCCACCUCCUGGCCUCUUCUGCCACACUUGCUCUGCACUUUGUCCCCAGCACAGUAGCCCAGAAGUCACAGCUCUUCUGUGCUUAGAAAUCUCCCGAGGCUCUGUGUUCACUCAGGGAACAAGCCCGCAGCCCUCCUGUGCCACUCCGGCCUUCUUGAGUCUUCCCUUCUCUGGCCUCCACACUGACUUCACACUCUCUCCCGGAAGAACAGUCUGAAGACCUCUCUGCACAGCCUCAAGAUCCUUGUUCGGAUGUCCCACGAGGCGCCCCUGUUUCAGCCGGCAUCUCACAUCUCCCGGGCACUUCUUCCUUUCCUGCAUUCUACUGCGGACUUCCUCUCGGGUCUGCUGCUUGUCACCUGCUUCCCAGCUGCACCCAGACCACGUUCCCACUGGGUCGAAAUGUGUCCUUUGUUCAGUGCAGUUGGUCCCCAUCCCCUCACUCAUGAUGAUGAGCCUGUCCCCACAACUCUAAUGUCUGGGUCUCAGGAUACUGAACUCCCUCCAGCGUAUAAGUCCCAAGGAGCACUUAUUCCAUUGCCUGGUUAUUUCAAAGGCAGGUCCUUGGUCCUUGAACUGGAACAGCUCAAGGCUCAAUUGAUGAGUGCAAUGAAAGAAGCCAUUGAGAAGUCAGCAGUCUGCUCAUAGGGUGACAGCUUGUUUGGGCUGCUAGGGCCUCUUUCCUGCCCAUUCAGACCCUCUUAGUUCAGCACCAGGGCCAGCGCUAGGCACCCAGGUCUAAGGGGGUGUAGUCUAGACUCUGAGGAACCUACUGGAUGUGGCCUGGUUAAAAGGCUUGUGUUGAAGGAUCCCCCUGUAACCUUACCCAAUCCCAGGUAGAUCCAAAGGCCAUCAGGAAGAUGGGUCAAGCCUCAUCAACACUUGGCAAUUUGACCUCAUAACCACUUCAUACCUUUCCCUAGCAGACAGGAUUGGGAAGGGUGGCUCCUUCGGAGCAGGGUCCAGACCGAGGAACCAUGACCCUGGAGACCCCUUUCCAGAGAGAAGCUGGCACCCCACAGCCUCUGCCUCAGCCAGAAGGGGCAACAGCUUUCUUCUUGUCUUGUUUGCUGCACAGCCCCCUCUUCCUGCCACGCCUGGGCUCCUUCCAGAUCUCAGCUGAGCGCCGCUGCUUCUAUUUUUAAAUGGAGCUAGCAGAGCUGAAUCCACCUCCACAGAUAACUGGAGUUGCAUCGGCUUUACAGAUUCCUCAGGGAGGACGGACAUCUGCCCCAUUCAUCCUCUCUACUCCCCUUGUCCUCCCCAGCCAGAUUCCCCACCUUUUCUCUCCCCAGGAGCAGAUGGUGGGGCUCCUUCCUCUCUGCGUAGCCCUGGCCAUCCUGGAACAUGAUCUGUAGACCAGGCUGGCCUUGAACUCAGAGAUUUGCCUGCCUCUGCCUCCUGAGUGCUGGGAUUAAAGGCAUGUGCCAUCACCUCCAGGUUCUUAGGUGGGUCUUUAAGGAUGCAUAGGUAGGUCCUGGUGGCACAGGGCUGUAAUCCAGCUAUUUGGGAGACUGAGGCAGGAGGAUCACAAGUUUAAGGCCAGCCUGGGCUACUUAGUGAGGCCCUGUUUCAAAAUACAAAAGUAAAAGUAGCACUGGACUCCUGCUGCUGGGGAGAUGGCUCAGUGGUUAAGAGCACUGGUUGCUCUUUCAGAGGACCUGAAUUCAGGUGCCCACAUCCAUGCAGUGGCUCACAGCUGUCUGUUAACUCCAAUCCCAAGGGAUGUGACGCCCUCUUCUGGCUGCUGCAGGCACACUAGUGGUACACAGAUACACAUGCAGGCAAAAUAUCCAUAUACAUAAAUAACUGAAAUAGUUUCAAAAGAGAUGUGAAUGAGUGGUAUAGCCUUUGUGUCUGGAUAUAUAUGAGGCCCUGGGUUCACUCUCAAGCACAAAAAUACCAAAACCCCAGCAUACAGUGGGGAAGGAGAUGGUGAGGGAAUUGGAGAAUAAGGGGGAAGCGGUAGAGCAGAAGGGGAGCUUCAGCAUGCUGCCCCAGGCUGCUCAGAAAUAUGAGAAGUCAGACCAACCGAAGGGAACCAGGCCAGUCAGGCACCAGCACCGUGAGCUAUGUCCAUGUGUCCCUCCAGGCACCCAGAUGUGUUAGCCACGUCCCCGAACAUGCAGCUUCUCCUCCAGUCACAUCCUCUAGGAAGAGCAGAGUCGGGCAUCUGCUGGCCCCACAUGUUCCCUUGUAUUUCUCUAAGCAAUAUGUACACCUUAAUAUACAGUUGUUUCACGGUACCUCAGGGGGGUGGAGCCAGGGCUCACUGAGGAACCCAACAUCCAAGGAUGUGAAAUGACACAGUAUUUGCCCAGCCUCUCUGCUCUUCCUCCUACACACUCAUCUCUAGAUGAUCACUUACAUUGUCUGCUGUUACGUAAGCACCGUGUGAACGGCGUCUACCCAGGACUGCUAGGGAGUAAUAAACGAUAAGGGAAAAAAGUCCUAUGUGAUCAACAGAACUUUAAUUUUUUAUGGAGACAGAACUCGGGGCCCUGUGCAUAGACAACAAGCAUUCUUCCACUGAGCUACAUCCCCAGCCCUGUUUUUGUUUGUUUGUUCUUUCUUUUUUUUUUGUUUUGUUUUGUUUUUCGAGGCAGGGUUUCUCUGCGUAGCUUUGUGCCUUUCCUGCAGCUCGCUCUGUAGACCAGGCUGGCCUCGAACUCACAGAGAUCCGCCUGGCUCUGCUUCCCGAGUGCUGGGAUUAAAGGCGUGCACCGCCGCCGCCGCCGGCUGUUUGUUCUUUCAUGGGGUCAUGAGAGUGGGAAAGCUGAUCCUGCCCCUCCCCGGCUGCAGCACUUGAGAGAUCAGGCCCUGCACCAACCCCAGUCAGCACUGUAGAGCUGAGCUGACCCUGUUGAUGGAGGUGCGGGAGAUCCAGUGCCUCGAACGUGUGUGGGAGAUCAUCUGCCACAUGGUGGGUGGCUGAGGGAAAGCUGACCUCCCCGACCCAUCGCCAUCUGUGGCAAGUGGGAGAGCUGGCCCUGAGGUCAUGAGAGUGGGAGAAUUGGUACUGCCUCUCACGGGAGCAGCACUCGGAAGAGCAGCGCCUGCACCCUGCCGCACAGCACAGUAGAGCGGACCCUCUUGGUGGGGGCGCAGAACCAGGACUACAAGAUAGCCCAGCCCAACAUCCACCUCCUCUAUGAACUGCUGGAGCACGUGAAGGGGGCCGGACCUGCAGACCUGCUGGAUCUCCAGAACACAAGACAACAGCAGGAUAUCCAAGGAACCCCAGUGAGAGCCCAGUAUUGAUAGUGCAGCAGAAGCCGGAGGCCUGGAACCAGACCAACAACUCCCUGCAAUGAACACUUGCAAGUAAAGACAUAUGGACUAAAAGGUAAACUAUGUGACCACACUACAGUAUGGUGAUAUUUUAUUUGUACUGAAAUGUGAUUUUAUUUGUAUGUUAAUAAAGUUGCCUGGGGGUCAGAGCUAAUAGCAAGCCAUAGCAGAGCUGGGCGUUAGUGGUGCACGCCUUUAAUCUGCCUACUUGGUAGGCAGAGCUAGGUAGAUCUCUGUGUGGUCAAGGAUACAGCCAGCAUUGGAGACACAUGCCUUUAAUCUCAAUACCAACCAUAGAAAAUCUGGAGGUCUGUACAAACAGGCAGUGACGAGGUGGUCAUGUGGUUGGGUUUACAACCGAUGAGAAGGCAGAACAGAAAGUCUAUAUAAAGACAAACACUCAGGAAGUAGGUCUCUCUUGGCUGAAGAGGCUAGCUGCAGCAGACGGGUAAGGCUCUUAGCUCUGAUCUCUUGGCUUUCUUCUUUGCAUGGGUUCUGUGUUUCUUAUUUAAUAAGACGGUUGGUUACAUCUACACUACAGCAUCCAUGCCAAGAUUUUUUUUGUAUGUUGUUGUUGUUGUUGUUUGUUUCUGUUUUUAACUUUCAAAUUUUGUUUUGUUUUGGGGGAGAUUUCAAGGGCAGAGAGCAGAAGCAGAAGCAAAGGGACAGGGAGAUGAGUGAGAUUGGGAUGCUUGAUGUGAAAUCCACAAAGAAUCAUAAAAAAUUUAAAAAAAAAGAGAGAGAAAAAGAAAAGGCCUUUGAAAGAAGUGACGCUCGAGUCAAAGGUGACUGGGAGUUAGUAGGGGAACAAAGACGGGCAAUCUGUCUAUCCCAGGCAAGAGGUCCUACAAAGUGUGUGACCCAAGGGGUGGGUGGGUGUGUUAGUCAGGGUCUGUAGAGGAAGAGAACUGAUAGAAUAAUCUGUAUAUACACAAGGGGAAUUCAGGAAAAGACUUAGAGGAAGGCUGGGUGGUGGUGGCACACGCCUUUAGUCCCAGCACUCGGGAGGCAGAGCCAGGAUGAUCUCCGUGAGUUCAAGGCCAGCUUGGUUUACAGAGUGAGAUCCAGGACAGGCACCAAAACUACACGGAGAAACCCUGUCUCAAAAAGCCAAAAAAAAAAAAAAAAAAAAAAAAAAAAAAAAAAAGCCAAAUAAAUAAAAUACAAAAUAAAAGACUUACAGACUGUGGUGCAGCUGGUCCAACAAUGUCUUCCUCUCAACAGAAAGCCCAAGAAACCCGUAGUUGUUCAGGCCGCGAGGCCGCAAGUCUCAGCUGGUCUUCAGUAUCCGUUGCGAUUCCAAAGAAGUAGGCUCUGACGCCAGCGAAGGAACGGACCUGCCAGUGAGAGUAAGGGCAAGCAGGCAAAGAGCAGGGCUUCCUUCCUCCAUGUCCGGUAUGUGGGGUACCAAGAGAAGGUGUGGCCCAGAUUUAGCCAGACACUCCACGUCCCAGGUACUUCCUGGGCUGAGCCAGUGGUCCCGUGCCUCUUUCUGCAUGGCUUCCGUCCCAGAACCCUAACUGGAGGCGAUGAAGAAAUGACAGGAACAUCUGAUGGAGAAGCCCCAGCACCCCAGAGACGCGGUAUGCUUAUAUAUACAGCUGCACAGGGAGGCAGGGUUGUUACACACAGAUACAUGAAGAGGCAAGGUGAUUGCACACAGCUCAACAAGGAGGCAGGCUUGGCUGAUCGCAGUGGGGGCAGGUUCUGCAGAGAAGCAGUCCUUAGGCCAUGAACAUGGGAGUCGGGAGAGAGAAAGCUUAGGGGGGGCACUGUCUGCACACGCUGUCAAUAUUUUCACUUGGACCCAAGGAAGGCUUCGCCAUCCCUCUGAGCCUCACCUGGGGAAGGCUUUGGCACUCCCACGGGGCUAAGGCAUUUGGGUCCUUGACAUGGCCAUGUGGACCGCGUGCGUUCACUGAAGGCUCCACUUGCUCCCUGCAGUGCGGAGGCUCUGAUGGGAGUCCAUCUAAUCAGCCGACACAAACUCUGCGGAGUUGAGACCCACACGCUGCUUCCCGUCUUACUCACCAGAGCUGCUGGCUCAGCCCCAACCAGCCCAAGAGGAGUGCCAGGUCAUAUGCCUGAGAGGCAGCACUCCAGGGACAUCAACAACAAUCCCAGUCCCCAAGGACUUGAAAACCUAAAAACUUCCCUUUCUGUCUAAGCAUCUUCAGAGUCUGGUUUGAAUUAUUCGUGAUUCAAUAAUUUUUUUUUUUUUUUUGGUUUUUCGAGACAGGGUUUCUCUGUGUAGCUUUGCGCCUUUCCUGGAACUCACUUGGUAGCCCAGGCUGGCCUCGAACUCACAGAGCUCCGCCUGGCUCUGCCUCCCGAGUGCUGGGAUUAAAGGCGUGCGCCACCUCCACCCGGCGUGAUUCAAUAAUUUUACUUUACUAGGUUCAAAACCAUAGAGAGGAGAAAACCCCUAUCCACUUGAACAGCAAGAAACAGCUUGGGGAAAUGGUGCAAACUGAGGGUUAUUCUUUUGUUGACAUUUUAUGUAUUUUUGUUUUAUGUUUAUGGAUGUGUAUCCAUGUUCCUGCAGUGUCUGAGAAGGCCAGAAGAUGGUGUCAGAUUCCCUGAGAAUCUGAGACUGGAGUUAGAGAUGCUUGUGAACCACCACGUGGGUGCUGGGAACCUAACCAGGUCCUCUGGAAGAGUGGUCAACGCUCCUAACCACUGAGCCAUCUCUCCAGCCCCAAAUUACAGAUUAUUCUUAUCCGCUUAAUAAUACCAUAAUGUCUUUUUUCUCCCUUCUCCCCUCCCUCUCUCUCCCCUCCUCUUCCUCCUCCUCUUCCUUUUUUUGAGAUAGGUCUCACACUAUAGCCCUGGCUGGCCUUGAACUCUCAGCAAUCCUCCUGCCUCUGCCUCUCUAGUGAUGGGACUACAGGCACAAGCAGACAGGAGCGAUGUGUGGCUCUGACACACUAUAUUUCUUUACUAAACUGAAGACUGGGAAGACUGUAUUUGUUUACGGUCACUCUGUGAUUCUAUGCUCUUAUUUGAAUACCCGAUAGCAACUGUAUUCCCAGAGACUUGGGAGGCUGAGGUUGAGAGGAUCCUGUGCCUAGUAGCUUGAGGCCAGCCCUGGCAACAUGUGAUAUCCCCCCCUACCACCACCACACCUCCCCAGUUAGGCAUGGUGGCAAUCCCAGCACUUGGGAGGAGAGGCAGGAAGAUUAGGGAUUCAUGGUCACCCUUGGCUACACAGUGAGUUCAAGGCCCAUCCGGCCUAUGUGAGACCUUGUCUUUUUUUGUUUUUCAAAGAUGUCCUUUAUUAUUUAUUUGUUAUGUGUAUGUCUCUGUGUGAGUAUGUGUACAUGAUAUGGUGCCUUUGGAAGCCAAGAGGGCGUCAGAUCCCCUAUACAAGCAGUUCUGAGCUGCCUGCCGUGGGUGGGAGAGCUGAGCCCAGGUCCUCCAGGAGAGCAGAGAGUGAUUUUAACCACUGAGCCAUCUCUUCAGACCCCAAGAUCAUGCCUUCAAAGCGGGGUGUGUGUGUGUGUGUGUGUGUGUGUGUGUGUGUGUGUGUGUGUGUGUGUGUGUGUGUGAAAUCAUUUGGAAACAUGGAUCAUGGGUUCUGUUUACUUACUGGGAACCCACUGGGACACAUCACUUUUCUUGAAUGUUUGGUGAGGAUUAUGUCAUGACUUCUCUACUCUGAGAUUAGUUAUCAUUCUUGUUUUAUAUAGGAGAAAAAAACAAGACCCAGGGAGGGUAAGUAACUUAGUCAAAGUCACACAGCCAGCGAGUCCCAUGUUGUAUUGUGUCCCUGUAUUGCUAGAGACAAGGCCCUCAUCUGGAACAGUUCUGUGCUGCCCCCUAGGGGCAGCCGAGUGCCCGGGAGGUUAAGGAAGGGCAUCUGGAAUUCUCCUGGCUGUAGAGGCAGCUCUGACUGCAAACGUGUUGACAUUACAGAGGUCCCUCUGGGGUUCUACCCGCUGAACUUGGCUGCUAGUUCAGGCAAGCCAGCCUGGAACUAGGUUUUCAGGUCCUUGGAGUUGAAACAUUAUUUACUGAGCACGUGUGCAUGGACCCUUGAGGCCCCUGAGUUCUCCCCACCACUCAGAGCAGCUGUAUGCACGUGCAUACCAUUCUUGAACAUAUAACAUACACACUCUAAAUGCACGUGUGCACACACAACACAUACAUUCUCUCUCUCUCUCUCUCUCUCUCUCUCUCUCUCUCUCUCUCUCUCUCACACACACACACACACACACACACACACACCCUCUCCAAAACAUCUAUUAUUCAGCUCAGAGCUGGAAAUUCCCAGCCAUUGGUUUGUGUGUUUUUCUGCCUGGCCUCGCCCUUCUUAGGAAUGCACACUGGAGCUACUUACUCUAAGGGCAAAAAGCCUAAGGUGGUGGGAGAGCUGAGGCUGGCUACUGCCUGGGGUCCCUGAUGCCCUGGGAUGGGGGAGGGGCACACCUGCUGCUGCAGGCUUUGAAACUCUGACCCCAUAGCAAAGUCUGAGUGUGAGAUGGAGGCAAAGGGUGAGGAAGAGGGGCUGCAGCUUGAUGCUGAAAGUCCAGGUCCACGUUCCUGGGGGCUAAGUGCGGGAGGUCUGAGGGGGCUCAGGAGUCUGCACAUUUAAGAAUCCGGGGCUCAUGCUUUCAGGAACAGUGCCAAGUUGGGCAUGGUGGCACAUGUCCCAGCUCUUGGAAGGGUGAGGCGGGAGGGUAGACUAUCUAGGCUUCCUUCAGCAGGUAUCUCUGUCCUUUAUGCCUGCUGGACUCCUUGCAGUGAGGUAAGUAGGGGGAGGUCGGGGGAGAGCAUCAAAGCCAGCCUGGGCCACACAGGGCGAGCUGGUCUCACAAACCAAAACGAAAGCCCUCAAAGCCUAAUGACACGUUCCCUAAGAUUUGAACUCUGGAGGAAGGCUUGGUCGCGUGCUGUCUCUGCAGUACCCGCGGACUGGAGCAAGUCACACUUCUCCCUCCAUACCUUGCCCCGGGGAUGAUACACAGGGCCAGGUACUCUACCACUGGGCUGCGCCCUCGGCCCGAGUUCACAUAUCCGUGGCAAACUUUACUUGCAUGAUAAAGGUCACUACCACAAGAGUUUGGCAUACAGCCUGGCAUGUGGAAACCAGGAAGAAAGAAUGGUCGCUGUCAGCAUGAUUGCAUGGGGUUUCAGAAUAUCUGCCCUUUCAAACUUGGCAUUGGUGGUAGGAAUUGCUUUACCUGACUAAGUCUAGCUUGCUAACUGAAAGAGAAAAUGCGAGGCCGCAGUGCUGCAAGGUCCCUGGGGAGCCCUGAACCGGGAUCCAAGUUUCCCCACUCCCUUCCUCUUCCUGAACUUUCGUAGGAUGCAGCGCACACCUCCAGCAAUGCCAGCCAAAAGCCCUUGUGGCCACGUCUUGCAGGGUGGGAAGGGCCUGGGACAACAGGCUGCAGUGGUUCCUUCUUGGAUGUGGGAAUCAGGUCAGUAGGAUGAAGGUCUAAAGAGCUCCCAUCAGAGAGGGAGAGCUGACUGCGGCUUGCACGGAGGUGAGGAGGCAGCCCCUCUCCUUCAGGAACUUUAAGUCCCUGCUCCUGAUGCAAAUGGGUAGGAAACAUUGGGGUGAGGGAGGCCCCAGAACCGAGGGAAGUGAAAUCAUGGUCUGUCUUUCCUUGAUGUGUUUUUGAUAGAGACAGGAGAUCCGAGAAACAUAUCCUUACCCUGGGAAAAGCAAGAGGAUGAGGAUGACAGAUGGAGCCGAUGGAGCCCAUGAGCCUGGAGCACGAGAGUGAGAGACGUUGAAAUGCAAAGGUUGUGUAGCCUCUAACUCCCACCCCCAACCUCGGCCUGGCACUGUGAGGGAACACAGGCCUAGGGGGUCAGAUCUUUCGGAGUCAUUGAGAGAAUAUAGAAAAAUGAAUGUAUGUGGCCAACUUGCUGAAUUGAAAUGCUGCCUCCAAUUUUAUUUUUAAAGAAUGACUUGGUUUUAUUUUAUGUGCAUGUGUGGGUGUGUGCAUGUGUAUGUUAGGUGCCUGUGGAGGCAUCAGCUCCCCUGUGAGUUGCUCGAGGUGAAUGCUGGGAACCAAACCUGUGUCUUCUACAAGAGCAGCAGCAAGUGAUCGAAUCUGCUUACUUAGCUCCUUCUCCAGCCCCGUGCUGCCUCUGAUUUUAAGAUGUUCUUGUUAGAAAGACGUUCUGAUAGGUAAUAACAACAGAAUAUGUAAUCCUAACUGCUCAAGAGGUUGAGGCAAGAGGAUUAUAAGACCUGCCUGGGCUACAGAAUGAGUUCAAGGCCAGUGUGAGCAACUCAGACCAUGUCUCAAAACAAAAUGUUGGAAAAAGUCGAGGGUGCAGAUCAGGAGUACCACACCGGCUUAGCAUGCCUGAGGCCCUGGGCCUUAGUACUACUUCAAAAAUAAAAAUAAGUAAAUAAAUAUAUAAAAUGAAGAGAGGAAGGACCCUGCUUAAAAAAAGAUAUCUAUCUUAGAAGUCACAAAAGACACCAAUAGGCUGGACUUGAUCCGUGGUACCUUUGGGCUGUUCUCAACCCGUACAACAGCUCAGACUUUGGUCAUAUCUAUGAACUUCCUGGUUUCUUGAAAAAGUCUCUCUCUCUCUCUCUCUCUCUCUCUCUCUCUCUCUCUCUCUCACUCACUCUUUCACAUACACACACACACACACACACACACACACACACACACACACACACACACCAAGAAUGAGUAGAGACACUAUAGAGGAAAAUGUGGACACCAGACAAGUGGCAGCAUUAUCAGGGGUACCUAGGUGGUGGUUUGUGGGACACUGCGUUGGACCCACAGGAAUCCUGAGUCUUGCCAGACCAAGAGACCAGUCACACCCACAUGCAUAGAGGCCCAGAGAGGUGAAGGCAUUGGCUCAUCAUUACACAGCAAGGCAGCACCAAGCCAGUCCAGGGCCUGGUUCUCCUUAUUCCCAUCUGCAGCGCCUUCUAUAAAAAUCCCUGCCCCUGGUGCAAAUG